AACAUUUGAUGCCUGCAGGCUUUGGGAACUGGCAGUGAUUCACAGACAGCAAGCAGGAUGCUGGACAUUGGUCAAACUUUGGCCCUGCACACCUUCUCCCACUACCAGUUAUGCUGGUGAGAAGACUACAGCUGUCACCGGGAAGAAAGAGCCUGCCUAAAAAUCAGAGGGCAACGAAACUGAAAGGAAAGACACAGAAGUCUAAUGGCAUCAACUGAGUGCCUGGGCCCAGCUAUUCCUGAUGAUUUACUCCUGGAGUUUCCGACUUUAUACACCGACACAUUCUCUUUUUUCUUAAGUUAUUUAGACGCGGUUUUCAAGUCACUUGUGACUUCAAAACUCCUGACUUUUACAAGUUCCUGCUUGCCUCUAGUCCAGCCCCGACAUUGUACUCCUGUCUUCAACUGUGUGUACCCUAAGUCCUUGCCUUAAUUUUCUACCUAUUUCUCUUGUGCUUCCAAGUCUGUAGCCUUAUCUUUAGGGCCAGCCUAUCCCUUCCCUCUUUCUAGAAAUCAAAUAGGAGGCAACAGCACCUUUCAGAAAACAAGAAUGGAAUCUCAAAGUCCCAACCUCUUUAUACUUUUCCCAUGAUCAGUCUGCAACAUUAAGACAAGGGAAAGUUUGAGCAAGGCAAAUGGCAUGAUCUGGACGUGGCAGGAAAAAAAUGGGACAGACUCCGUUCCAGUGCUUUGAAAAUCUGUUGGUUGUAAGAUCUGGAGAAGGAACUCAAGUUCCAAUAAAUGUCACUGAACAAAUUGUACGAUGUAUGGAGCUGCCUAAUGUUUCAUCUGUUUGGAUGAAAUGGUUGUCUUUAAAUAAGCUAGGUGCAAAGUUUCUAAUAACCACUGUUUUUCAGCAUGUCUCAGAGCUCAUGUUGUUAAUCAAGCAAGGUUAGCUUAUUUUUAUUGAGUAAAGGAUGUGUUAAGAAAGGAAUGGUUUUGCAUUUUAAGCAAAAUGGAUGAAUAAUGAAUGAAUUUUAAGUAAAUAAAUAAAACCUUUAAGUGAC
Long non-coding RNA from Homo sapiens (human), 1006 nucleotides. RefSeq lists it as uncharacterized. The transcript has 2 exons. NCBI's taxonomy places the organism in Eukaryota, Metazoa, Chordata, Mammalia, Primates, Hominidae. The record is from RefSeq and is a predicted model, not a curated record.